GAUGAACGCUGGCGGCGUGCUUAACACAUGCAAGUCGAACGAAGCACUGUGGACAGAGUCUUCGGAUAAUAGAAACAGUGACUGAGUGGCGGACGGGUGAGUAACGCGUGGGUAACCUGCCUCAUACAGGGGGAUAACAGUUAGAAAUGACUGCUAAUACCGCAUAAGCGCACGAUACCGCAUGGUAUCGUGUGAAAAACUCCGGUGGUAUGAGAUGGACCCGCGUCUGAUUAGCUAGUUGGCAGGGUAAUGGCCUACCAAGGCAACGAUCAGUAGCCGACCUGAGAGGGUGACCGGCCACAUUGGGACUGAGACACGGCCCAA
This 324-nucleotide ribosomal RNA is filed under the name uncultured bacterium. RNAcentral's name for it is "bacterial SSU rRNA". It matches the Rfam family "Bacterial small subunit ribosomal RNA", at positions 28 to 334 of the family's 1533-position model. The record is from RNAcentral.